RNAcentral lists this long non-coding RNA (4324 nucleotides) under Homo sapiens (human). RNAcentral's name for it is "HSALNT0344842". Lineage: Eukaryota; Metazoa; Chordata; Mammalia; Primates; Hominidae. The record is from RNAcentral.
AAACCCAUCUUUCCGGCCAUGCAGGGCGCAUGCGCGGUCUGCCUCCCGCGGCGGGCCGGGUCUCCAGGGAGGACCUGAGUUUUCUUCACCCAUGGUCAGGGAAGCGCCAUCGCCCUGGCUUUGAGGCUGGGGCCUCCGGGGAGGUUCCGGUAGGGGCUUUGAAGAGGCCGCUGUUUUUGCAAGGCCGAGACGGCGGGCCCUGCGCAGCCCGGAUGCCCCCGCUGGCCCCGGAGCAUCCUCGGCGCUGCCCUCCCAGAGCCCCGCAGAGGCUGAGGUGGCGCGGGGGCGGCCCCGGCUCCGCGAGAAGCGGCGGCAGCGAGGGCUGGAGGACCCGGGCUACGGGGCUCCGGGGCGUCUGGCCUGGUUGGGACUGAGCCCAUCCAGGGACUGGGACUCUGGGAUUCUGGUGUAGGUGGAUCCGGGGCAGGCUCAGGACCAAGUCCCUCUCCUUCCACCAAGGAGCGCCCAGAGGCCGGCGGGAGCUCCAGGUUCACCUCCUCCUCCUCCAGGAAAUCUCACUUCCAACUGGAUGUCUGGAUGAACUACUGAAAGCUGCUGAGUGUCCUGCAGCAGGUGAGCUGUGGCCAGAGCCCAAGGAUGAAGGGGGCUCCCUCACUCUGUGACUGUGAAGAGGAAGCCUGAGGUGUAGCAGGCCCAGGCCCCAGAAGUAUGGAAAAAAUGAGCUUGACUACCACACAAAUGAAUCCACUCAAAUGUUGGCAAGUGGAGCAGAGUCCCAGGACAGGUACAGAAACACCCCCAGUUCAAGGAUCUUCACACCUGGAUUUAGGCCUACUCCUGCAACUACCCCAGAACCUGGAAUUUAUAUGUUCAACAUGGAGCCAUCCCAGCCAUGACAACAGAGAAUGUACCACUCUCACAGUUACUAUGAAUUAUUAUAUUGUGGCUACUUACACCAAGAUGAAGAUAAUUUAUUAGUUCAGGAAGAACCUGCAUUCUGAAGGCAAAUGGAAGUUCCAGCUACAGAUGGGCAGACACAUGCCCCCUCAAUUCCUGAUGGACCUCCUUGUGCCUCAUGGACCUAAGGGGCCUCCCUCAAUGUUUCAAGAUGCCACCAAGGCAGGGAUCAGCUAGUGCAUUCCUGAGAACAUCCAGGAUGAAUUGAGGCUCUGGAAAAAUGCAAGAGUUUCCACAUAAUCCCAAAAAACCCUACAGGUGAACUGGAUGCCACAGAAAGAGGAGUGGUCUUUGUCACAACAAAAUCAACAAAAUUAUUUCGAAGUCAAUUAGGAAACUCAGAAAUCACUCUUGCUGCCAUUAAGAGGAAGAACAGCAGCCUGUGAAUGGCAUCCCUGGCCUUCCCGAGACUCCACAGAUAUUUCUAUGUGGCUUCAGACACCAGAAAUCUCUGUGAUUUUCAGAAAGGCAGGGACAGCUCAUGCAAGCCCAUCCCUCUGCAGAAUGUGUCCCAGCAGAUCAGUGGCAUGGAACCAUCAUGGACAGCACAGAGGCUCAAGGGCAGCAUCCCAGGUGGGCCUGUGACUCUAGAUAAGUUCUGAGUCCCCAUGGGGGAUCAGGAAAGGUUAGUGAUGACCUGGAAAGAAGGGACAGGUGGAAACCGCCCCUAAGCAAUCUGCAGGAUUCCAACUUCAGCAGGAAACCAAGGACCAGCUCGUACCACACCUGCGCCCCCUGAAAACUGGAUACAAUCCCAUUCUGCAGAAAGUUCCACGUAGAAGUGGCUGGGAAUUUUGCAUUCUAGAAUGAAUUUUACAGUGCCUCUGGACAUGUGAUGAGAAAGUUAACAUUGGUGUAUCUAAGUGACAUUUUCCACGAAGUGAUUUUUUAAGCUGUUUUAAAACAGACAAAAUAUAAUUAAAACAUAUGUAUUAUAUGUCAAAGUAUGGUUCGCUGGAAUCAAGUAGACUCACCUUGAGAUACAAUCUUGGACAACCUCCAUAUUCAGAAUAUCUACUUUUUCAAACCGAAACUCUCCAACCAAAAAUCAAUAACAUCAAAAGUUUGCAACUACAAGCCAACGGAAAAUAAAUACAUGAAUUCUACCAAAGUGAAUUGGACUGCUUUGGGAAACACAGAUGAAGAAAGUCAACACCGCUUUGUCUUUCAGUGCCUGGCUCCCUUUUCAGCUCGUCUUGCGACACCAGACAUUAUACCUGAAAAGUCUCCCGGACGCCUGUGAGGCUCUAAUUCCCUGGGUCCUAUUGUCAUUUCUCUGGAUUUGCAAAGAUCCACCUCACCUUCUGUGGAACCCCCAUGUCGGUGAACUUUUGGGCCACGGCCCCUAAUUCUGCCCAUAGUCAUCUGGAACUGCACGAGUUAGGGUCCAUGUUCCUUGGACGGGAAGAGACAGGCAGGAGUCGGAAUGAUGAACCAGCACACUGGGGCAUUUUCUCAUGUAGCCCAAGUGACCCCAUGGUCUUCUCGAGCUUUGGAACCAGUCGCGUCCCCCUUGACACUGCACCCGACUCCCAGUUUCUCAAUCUUGUUGGCCCUCCGGCGAUCUCCCUUUGGAUGAAUUGCACCUGCUGAAACUCGAGUCCCCUUUGAUUUGCGCUUCAUUAAUUAUUCAUGAUUCAGUUUGGAAGGCCUGCUUACGACUCCCUGUGGCCGUUCUCUGAGCUUUCCGGUCACAUCGUUUCCUUCCACGCUCUUUGGUUCAUUGUGGUCCUGCUGCUUCUGCUGUCAGAGGAGCAGAGAGUAGAUCUUAUUGAUUCUGGAUACGGAUACUUUCUAGGUGAUCUGGAUAAUCAAGAUAACGACCCUCAACAGCGGCGGAAAGGGAGCAGCCAUUCAGUGUGUCUCAGAAAAUACCGCUCAGUUCCGAGGCCUCCUAGAUGUGGAAUCCUGCUCAGAGUUGUUCCCAGGUCAGAGAAUAGAGAGAGUCUGUGCAUGAUGAGAUAUCCCUGCCUAGAUCUUUCAGUGAGUCUCUACCUCAGCUACUCUUAGGAUCAGUGGGAGAACCAUGGAAAGGCCCGGUGUCAGACAUCCGGAAAGAAGAUGGGAUGAAUGUUUUACCUCUGAAGUACAUCCCAAAUCUGGGAGUUAACUACAGCUUUGCUGGGGACUAUUUGGUCAGUGAAACUCUGCCUGGUUCAUUCGCACAUCCGGAAGCCACUUCACGGGGGGCCGUCGCAACCGGAACCACACACUUGGCAUAGGCGGUUGAGCCAAAUGGGGACUCGCGGUGCAAGCAACGCUCCCCACGUGUUAGCGUGCGUGAGAUUCAGUUGGCGGAAUUUUACUAGGUGCGUGUUGGUAGAGUGGGGCUGAGGUUCUCUUUCUCCUGUGGAUGUAUACGAAGUCAAAGGUCCUGCCCAGCCGUGCGGUCCCCUCAGUCAACUCUGUUUCGGAGACAUAACGAUUUGGAUUGCUAACAAGUCAAGAAAUGUUCAAGCCCUUGGAUGUAGGGAAAAGAAAGAGAGAUCAGACUGUCACUGUGUCUAUGUCGAAAGGGAAGACAUAAGAGACUCCAUUUUGGAAAAGACCUGUACUUUAAACAAUUGCUUUGCUGAGAUGUUGUUCAUUUGUAGCUUUGCCCCAGGCACUUUGCCCCAGCCGCUUUGACCCAACUUGGAGCUCACAAAAACCUGUGUUGUAUAAAAUCAAGGCUUAAGGGAUCUAGGGCUGUGCAGGACGUGCCUUGUUAACCAAAUGUUUACAAGCCGUAUACUUGGUAAAAGUCGUGGCCAUUCUCUAGUCUCAAUAAACCAGGGGCACAAUGCACCGUGGAAAGCUGCAGGGACGUCUGCCCUUGAAAGUAGGGCAUUGUCCAAGGUUUCUCCCGAUGCGAUACUCUGAAAUAUGGCCUUGUGGGAUAAAAAAGACCUGACUGUCCCCUAGCCUGACACCGGUAAAGCGUCUGUGCUGAGGUGGAUUAGUCAAAGAGGAAAGCCUCUUGUAGUUGAGAUGGAGGAAGGCCACUGUCUCCUGCUCGCCCCUGGGAGCUGAAUGUCUCGGUGUAAAAUCCGAUCGUACAUUUGUUCAACUCUGAGCUAGGAGAAAAGCUGCCCUGUGGCGCGAGGCGAGACAUGUUGGCAGUAAUGCUGCCCUGUUAUUCUUUACUCCGCUGAGAUGUUUGGGUGGAGAGAAACAUAAAUCUGGCCUACGUGCACGUCCAGGCAUAGUACCUUCCCUUGAACUUAAUUAUGAUAUAGAUUGCUUUGCUCACAUGUUUUUUUGGUUGACCUUCUCUUUAUUAUCACCCUGCUCUCCUACUACAUUCCUUUUUGCUGAAAUAAUGAAAAUCAUAAUCAAUUAAAAAUGAGGGAACUCAGAGGCCGGUGCCGGUGCAGGUCCUUGGUGUGCUGAGUGCCGGUCCCCUGGACCCACUUUUGUCUCCCUA